UUGGAGGGCAAGUCUGGUGCCAGCAGCCGCGGUAAUUCCAGCUCCAAUAGCGUAUAUUAAAGUUGUUGCAGUUAAAAAGCUCGUAGUUGAAUUUCGGAAUCCAUCCGUCGGUCGGGCCUCACGGUCCGCACUGGUGUGAUGGAUUCCUACCUUCUGAAUGACCAGCAUGCCAUUAAUUUGGUGCGUUGGGGAAGCAGGACUGUUACCUUGAAAAAAUUAGAGUGCUUAAAGCAGGCUAGUGCCUGAAUACAUUAGCAUGGAAUAAUGAAAUAGGACGGCAUGGUUCUAUUUUGUUGGUUUCUAGGAUCACCGUAAUGAUUAAUAGGGAUAGUUGGGGGCAUUAGUAUUCAAUUGUCAGAGGUGAAAUUCUUGGAUUUAUUGAAGACUAACUUCUGCGAAAGCAUUUGCCAAGGAUGUUUUCAUUAAUCAAGAACGAAAGUUAGGGGAUCGAAGACGAUCAGAUACCGUCGUAGUCUUAACCAUAAACUAUGCCGACUAGGGAUCGGACGAUGUUAAUUUUUUAAUGACUCGUUCGGCGCCUUACGGGAAAC
Molecule: ribosomal RNA, 551 nt
Filed under: uncultured Glomeromycotina
Lineage: Eukaryota; Fungi; Glomeromycota
Description: SSU rRNA
Rfam family: Eukaryotic small subunit ribosomal RNA
Source: RNAcentral